UCAGGAUGAACGCUGGCGGCGUGCUUAACACAUGCAAGUCGAACGGUGAAGCCAAGCUUGCUUGGUGGAUCAGUGGCGAACGGGUGAGUAACACGUGAGCAACCUGCCCUGGACUCUGGGAUAAGCGCUGGAAACGGCGUCUAAUACUGGAUAUGAGCUCUCAUCGCAUGGUGGGGGUUGGAAAGAUUUUUCGGUCUGGGAUGGGCUCGCGGCCUAUCAGCUUGUUGGUGAGGUAAUGGCUCACCAAGGCGUCGACGGGUAGCCGGCCUGAGAGGGUGACCGGCCACACUGGGACUGAGACACGGCCCAGACUCCUACGGGAGGCAGCAGUGGGGAAUAUUGCACAAUGGGCGGAAGCCUGAUGCAGCAACGCCGCGUGAGGGAUGACGGCCUUCGGGUUGUAAACCUCUUUUAGCAAGGAAGAAGCGUGAGUGACGGUACUGCAGAAA
This 449-nucleotide ribosomal RNA is filed under the name soil bacterium 13V-12. RNAcentral describes it as "bacterial SSU rRNA". It matches the Rfam family "Bacterial small subunit ribosomal RNA", at positions 24 to 487 of the family's 1533-position model. The record is from RNAcentral.